This 92-nucleotide transfer RNA is filed under the name Bacilli bacterium. Its description in RNAcentral is "tRNA-Ser". It matches the Rfam family "tRNA". From Rfam's summary of the family: Transfer RNA (tRNA) molecules are approximately 80 nucleotides in length. Their secondary structure includes four short double-helical elements and three loops (D, anti-codon, and T loops). RNAcentral also lists the same sequence under 1 other name. The record is from RNAcentral. Lineage: Bacteria; Bacillati; Bacillota; Bacilli.
GGAGAUUUACCCAAGUGGUUGAAGGGGUCGGUCUUGAAAACCGAUAGUAGGCCUCCGGUCUAGCUAGAGUUCGAAUCUCUAAAUCUCCGCCA